Molecule: ribosomal RNA, 495 nt
Filed under: uncultured bacterium
Lineage: Bacteria
Description: partial 16S ribosomal RNA
Rfam family: Bacterial small subunit ribosomal RNA
Source: RNAcentral
GACGAACGCUGGCGGCGUGCCUAAUACAUGCAAGUAGAACGCUGAAGGAGGAGCUUGCUUCUCCGGAUGAGUUGCGAACGGGUGAGUAACGCGUAGGUAACCUGCCUGGUAGCGGGGGAUAACUAUUGGAAACGAUAGCUAAUACCGCAUAAGAGUAGAUGUCGCAUGACAUUUGCUUAAAAGGUGCAACUGCACCACUACCAGAUGGACCUGCGUUGUAUUAGCUAGUUGGUGAGGUAACGGCUCACCAAGGCAACGAUACAUAGCCGACCUGAGAGGGUGAUCGGCCACACUGGGACUGAGACACGGCCCAGACGCCUACGGGAGGCAGCAGUAGGGAAUCGUCGGCAAUGGACGGAAGUCUGACCGAGCAACGCCGCGUGAGUGAAGAAGGUUGUCGGAUCGUAAAGCUCUGUUGUAAGAGAAGAACGAGUGUGAGAGUGGAAAGUUCACAAUGUGACGGUAUCUUACCAGAAAGGGACGGCUAACUACGUG